RNAcentral lists this transfer RNA (74 nucleotides) under Haliotis rufescens (red abalone). RNAcentral's name for it is "tRNA-Ile". It matches the Rfam family "tRNA". Rfam says of the family: Transfer RNA (tRNA) molecules are approximately 80 nucleotides in length. Lineage: Eukaryota; Metazoa; Mollusca; Gastropoda; Lepetellida; Haliotidae. The record is from RNAcentral.
GCCCCGGUGGCCCAAUCGGUUAGCGCGCCGUACUUAUAAUGCGGAGGUUGUGAGUUCGAGCCUCACCCGGGGCA